UACGUAGGUGGCAAGCGUUGUCCGGAUUUAUUGGGCGUAAAGCGAGCGCAGGCGGAAAGAUAAGUCUGAUGUGAAAGCCCCCGGCUUAACCGAAGAAGUGCAUCGGAAACCGGGCGACUUGAGUGCAGAAGAGGACAGUGGAACUCCAUGUGUAGCGGUGGAAUGCGUAGAUAUAUGGAAGAACACCAGUGGCGAAGGCGGCUGUCUGGUCUGCAACUGACGCUGAGGCUCGAAAGCAUGGGUAGCGAACAGG
Molecule: ribosomal RNA, 253 nt
Filed under: uncultured Lactobacillus sp.
Lineage: Bacteria; Bacillati; Bacillota; Bacilli; Lactobacillales; Lactobacillaceae
Description: partial 16S ribosomal RNA
Rfam family: Bacterial small subunit ribosomal RNA
Source: RNAcentral